This is a long non-coding RNA of Branchiostoma floridae (Florida lancelet), 247 nucleotides long. RefSeq lists it as uncharacterized. NCBI's taxonomy places the organism in Eukaryota, Metazoa, Chordata, Leptocardii, Amphioxiformes, Branchiostomatidae. The record is from RefSeq and is a predicted model, not a curated record. The transcript has 3 exons.
ACCAGGCCUUUCCGAAGAACAAGCCCAAGGUUGAGAAGGCGCCACGUAUCUAUGGCCUCUGCGACGGUGCCUCCGGUAAUAAUAACUGUAACAGUUACUGUACUAGCACGGGGUACAUGUACGGAUAUUGUGCUUUUCAGUCCUGCCUUUGCCAGUAUUAUAUCACGGGAUGAGCCGUCCAUGUGGCCCGUGCUCCGGUGACACACCGCGCCCACUUCAAGUGAAUAAAUGUUCAUAUAUCACUAGA